AAGUCGUAACAAGGUUUCCGUAGGUGAACCUGCAGAAGGAUCAUUACACGUAUCCAACGUUAAACCCCCCUGUGAACUUUUAUACUUGCUCUCCUAGCCCGCCGGAAUUGUAAUCACUGGUAAAUCAUUGUUGAACAGAUUUUGAUUCAGACCUCAGUUUGGUCGGCGAAGAUCGAGCGAUCGUUGCAAGUGGUCUGGUUUCCCCAAACAGUCAGUCAUUGAUUGUGUAAGGAUAACGCUUUUCGAUCACUAGAGGCCGAACACCGGUCGGUGACCAGGUCGCCGUGGCUUCGGCCCCCGAUCUACCUGAACCUCCUAGGAAACUGCUGGGCAACAACUGUUAACAAUGGAUAUCUUGGUUCUC
This 364-nucleotide unclassified non-coding RNA is filed under the name fungal sp. RNAcentral describes it as "partial internal transcribed spacer region". The stretch from base 1 to 46 matches the Rfam family "Eukaryotic small subunit ribosomal RNA", at positions 1786 to 1831 of the family's 1831-position model. The record is from RNAcentral. Lineage: Eukaryota; Fungi.